UACGUAGGUGACAAGCGUUGUCCGGAUUUACUGGGCGUAAAGAGCGCGCAGGCGGUCGUUCAAGUCGCGUGUGAAAGCCCCCGGCUCAACUGGGGAGGGUCACGCGAUACUGAUCGACUCGAAGGCAGGAGAGGGUAGUGGAAUUCCCGGUGUAGUGGUGAAAUGCGUAGAUAUCGGGAGGAACACCAGUGGCGAAGGCGACUACCUGGCCUGUUCUUGACGCUGAGGCGCGAAAGCUAGGGGAGCAAACGGG
Molecule: ribosomal RNA, 253 nt
Filed under: uncultured bacterium
Lineage: Bacteria
Description: partial 16S ribosomal RNA
Rfam family: Bacterial small subunit ribosomal RNA
Source: RNAcentral